Molecule: long non-coding RNA, 1061 nt
Organism: Leguminivora glycinivorella
Lineage: Eukaryota; Metazoa; Arthropoda; Insecta; Lepidoptera; Tortricidae
Exons: 2
Source: RefSeq, a predicted model, not a curated record
AAUAUUUUUUCAAACCUCGUAGGUAUAUUUUUAUUUAGCUGAUAUUAUACUCAAGUAACUAUUGGUUUCGUACAGGCAGAGCCAUCUAUCGGCAGGAUUGUAUUGAUAACCCAGUUUGCUGUUAGCUAGAAUGACAAAAGAUGGCGUGUCGAUCGUCGUUAAUUUAUUUCCUUCCAAAAUCCCUUUUGAAUUUUCAUUUAUUGAAAAUAAAACUCAAUUUAUUAUUGUAUUGUUAGUUUUCGUUCCUUUUUGGAAAUAUUUUAUUACCCUCUUUAAGACAGAAGUUAAAGUUGUUGUCUAUAGGCGAAUGCAUCUCGUCACGUAUCUGUGGGCCGAGCUGUCAGCCGACACUUUGCAUAUUGGAAAGGAUGUAGACGGGUGGUUUUCAAAUUCUUCAGGGCCAAUGCGCCACAUUCUAAUUUUUAAAUCGCGAAUUAAUCGCAUAAUCGUAAGUAUUUUCUUCCAUAUUCGAAUGCAGUUUGUUGUGUUACGUUCAGUGCUAAUUCUUGUGUCCAUUAUUUUCAGAUGAUUUUAUUUUUAUAAAAUUACUGAGGACCCCUUCCAUUGACAUGAUUGCACGGAACCACAAGCCGGCUUCUUUUCUGGAAUGGGUCCUCAGAUUUGGAGGUUAACGUUCGAAGACAGAGCAGAGCUGAUGCUUCCCGAGCCUGGACCGGUGGACAGGAGGCUGUGGCGAUCGGUAUGGAAGAGCUCCCAUUCCGUGGCUGCAGCGGCCACCUCUCCUCAAUUCGGUUAGACGUCCCCCAAGGUCAGAGCGUUCCUCGUUUAUUUUUUUAAAAAAGGCGCCCAACAUAAAUUAAUUUUUUAAUUAAUAAUUUACCUUUUACCCGGUCUUCCAGUACCAGAACUACUGACUCACCCCUAUGCUCUAAAUUUUAGGUAUUUGUUUUUUUUUUUAAGUAAAUAGACUGAGCUAGCGAUAUAAUUUAUAAUAAGGGUAGUUUCAUUGCCUACCAGUUAGGCGUUACUAAGUAGUGUAUUAUUACUUUCGAAAUUAUUUUCAAAAAGUAAGUUAAUUAAAAAGUUAUUUUCUAUAUAAA